Molecule: long non-coding RNA, 994 nt
Organism: Homo sapiens (human)
Lineage: Eukaryota; Metazoa; Chordata; Mammalia; Primates; Hominidae
Exons: 3
Source: RefSeq, a predicted model, not a curated record
AGGUGCAAAGAGUCCAAAGAGGCACGCGGAAGGCCUGCUGCUGGUGGGGACGCCAAUGCCUGCAGAGGGACUGCGGGAAGCCAGGGCCACUGAGCUGCUGCUCCCUUUCACCCUGCUGUACCUGCUGGAAUGGGAUGGCACUCUUUUCUUUACUGCCAUGGGACAGGGAGCUCCAGAAUUUCCGAGGACUGCAGGGAGAACCUGUCUACAAGACAGCCAAGCGUAAGAGAAGCCAGAGUUGAAGUUAUCUUGGAACCAGACAGUGGAGGAUUGGUGAAUUUGGUCACCAGUGGAUGCUGGGCUUGCCACUAGGGGCCAAGGUGUGGAUCAAGGAGCUUCCAGCCAGAACCGCUAACAACUUAAGGAGAAAACACGUACUGGGGUGAGAUGAUCUGAAGGGUGUUUCCAACGAGAAUGACACAAAUACCAAGGACUGGAGAAGCCCUUGGAACAAUUGAUAAAGCUUCCCACAUUUUUUUUUUUUUGAGAUGGAGUCUCACUCUGUCACCCAGGCUGAAGUGCAAUCGCAUGAUCUCGGCUCACUGCAACCUCUGCCUCCUGGAAUCAAGGAAUUCUCCUGCCUCAGCCUCCUGAGUAGCUGGGAUUACAGGCUCCCACCACACCUGGCUAAUUUUGUAUUUUUAGUAGAGACAGGGUUUCACCAUGUUGGUCAGGCUGGUCUCGAACUCCUGACCUCAGGUGAUCCACCUGCUUCCGCCUCCCAAAGUGCUGGGAUUACAGGCAUGAGCCACUGCGCCUGGUCAAUUUCCCACAUUUUCUUAAGAUUAUGUUUGGCCUACAAAAGCUCAACCCAAAGCUAUCUUAUCAAGCUGGUAUGGAAUCUUUAUUUCAGCAAGGUGAUAUCCCCAAUAUGUAAUUCAACCUUUUGUUUAUUCCAAUAAUUAGUACGCAGGUGCUAUUUUAACUAAAAUUGUGUUAAAUUUGAGAUAAAAUCAAUGUAUUUUUGUAAUUUUGUUUUCACCCUGAAAAUUGG